AAGACGAGGACAGAUGUUGUCAUGACCACCACCUCGCCACCAAACCCUGAUGCUCAGACGGUGAAUGUCGGUGCCGUUGUUGGUGGAGUUCUUGGUGCUGUUGUUCUAAUUAUUAUUAUCAUCGUCCUGGUGAAACGAGGAAUCAUCAGGAGGAGUGAGGAGAGGCUGCGGGGAAGAAGGGAGCAGGAACCAGAGAUGGAGGGAGGAGGAGGAGAAGAAGAACCUGCAGAAACAGCUUGUUAAGCAUCAUGUCAGAGGUGUAGUGGUGGUGGAGGGAUGCUGCUGGAGCGAGAACACAACCAUUCACUACCUGACGGAUAAAAAGCAGAUUCCCAAAGUCUCUGCUGAACUAAGAGACAUUAAGUCAGCGUGUUAGUGUUUUAAAUGUGCUUAUUUGUUGUUGCGCCUGUUUCUUUGUGACUUUACUCUGUUCUGUAGGAAGAAAUAAUUCAUGUCAGUGGAAUGUGAUUUUCACAGAUAAGCUACUGGACAUUGAAUUGUAAUAAGCUGCAUAUUAAUAUGGUUUUAAGAACAUUCAUUGCGUUUUAAAAUCUUUGUUUCAUGACUAAUUGUUAAAUUUAUGACACUGUAAUGACACCAAAAUAAAAUCAUGGUAAACAUCAUCCAUUAAAGAUUAUGUGAUGUUUCUAAUCAGGACUGUUCUAUAUAUAUAUAGAUAGAUAUAUUAUAA
Seriola dumerili (greater amberjack) is the source of this 691-nucleotide long non-coding RNA. RefSeq lists it as uncharacterized. NCBI's taxonomy places the organism in Eukaryota, Metazoa, Chordata, Actinopteri, Carangiformes, Carangidae. The record is from RefSeq and is a predicted model, not a curated record. The transcript has 3 exons.